AUUUGCACAAGCUCCCUGGCUGUCACUCAGCUGAAAGAAGAUCUCAUCUGCUGCGAUCUGAGAGUUGUUUCCUCAGCUGUAACCCAGAAAAUAUUUGAUAUGAGAGUGUCAAAAACUGUCUCCAAGGAGAACUGAAGAUUCGGGAGCCACGUUAGCUCUACACUUUUCUUACCUCAUACCACAAGAAUCGGCGUCUGAAGUGCAGGCAGGCUGCAAACCUGUGUCAUCAGCGGGCAGAAUAUUUGUUCUAAGGAUGCAUCUACUUCAGUUUGGAAAGGAGUGGUUUUGAAAUUUAUCGCCUAAUUGUCCCCACUUACUGCACCUUUGUUUGCAUCAUGGAGCAGUCUUGGAGUAUGUAACCUGGAUUCCUUUUGGAUGGAACUGAACUGUAAAAUACAAUCGAGGAUUGCAUUUAACUUGCCCCGAAGACUGAUGGGCAUUUGUUAUGGGACCAGCUAGAGUUGGUCUGAAGAUGAAUCUCCCUGAAGUGUGCAUAAUGCAGAUGGAUUGGCUGCCAUGAUAAUUAAUCAGGAGAAGAGGAAUACCAUAAUUUUGUCCGCUUGAAAACAGCGGACAGGAGAAGAAAAAAGAAGAGUUGCUCAUAAUCCUGUUGCUGCUGGGAUUGUGCGAGGAGCUAGCACGUCUGGCAGGCCACUGUCGCAGGCGUACGCUGACUUCCCGGGAUUCAUUCUGCACUCUUCAUCUGUGGAGGCUCCCUUUGGUCUACAGAGUGAGUGUACCAGAAAACUGGGUUUUGUUUUUUUUUCCUCUUUCUAUAUUUCUCACUUCC
RNAcentral lists this long non-coding RNA (790 nucleotides) under Struthio camelus australis. RNAcentral's name for it is "lncRNA (ENSSCUG00000006294.1)". The record is from RNAcentral. Lineage: Eukaryota; Metazoa; Chordata; Aves; Struthioniformes; Struthionidae.